Molecule: transfer RNA, 67 nt
Filed under: uncultured Metallibacterium sp.
Lineage: Bacteria; Pseudomonadati; Pseudomonadota; Gammaproteobacteria; Lysobacterales; Rhodanobacteraceae
Rfam family: tRNA
About the family: Transfer RNA (tRNA) molecules are approximately 80 nucleotides in length.
Source: RNAcentral
CCAGGUAGCUCAGUUGGUAGAGCAGAGGACUGAAAAUCCUCGUGUCGGCGGUUCGAUUCCGUCCCCC